GACAGAGGUGCCAAGCGUUAGGCGGAAUCACUGGGCUUAAAGCGUGUGUAGGCGGAUCGUUAAGUGCCUUGUGAAAUCCCUCGGCUCAACCGGGGAACUGCGUGUGAUACUGGCGGGCUUGAAUUCGGGAGAGGGAUGUGGAAUUCCAGGUGUAGCGGUGAAAUGCGUAGAUAUCUGGAGGAACACCGGUGGCGAAGGCGGCAUCCUGGACCGAGAUUGACGCUGAGGCGCGAAAGCUAGGGUAGCAAACGGG
This 253-nucleotide ribosomal RNA is filed under the name uncultured bacterium. Its description in RNAcentral is "partial 16S ribosomal RNA". It matches the Rfam family "Bacterial small subunit ribosomal RNA", at positions 524 to 776 of the family's 1533-position model. The record is from RNAcentral.